This is a long non-coding RNA of Vidua macroura (Pin-tailed whydah), 1980 nucleotides long. RefSeq lists it as uncharacterized. The transcript is spliced from 3 exons. NCBI's taxonomy places the organism in Eukaryota, Metazoa, Chordata, Aves, Passeriformes, Viduidae. The record is from RefSeq and is a predicted model, not a curated record.
CCGCCGCCGCGGGGCUGUUACAGGGCGCUGCCCGCCCCGCGGCCGGCGGCUGCCGCGGCCGGGGCUUAUGGGAUCCCAGAGUGGUUUUGGUUCGAAGGGAGUUUAAAUUCCGUCCCAUUCCAUCCCCUGCCACUGCAGGCACACCUUCCACUAUCCCAGGGUGCUCCAAGCCCCGUCCAGCCUGGCCUGGGACACUGCCAGGGAUCCAGGGGCAGACACAGCUGCCCCGUGACAGGGCCUCACCCUCACUCCCACAGCCAAGAAUUUCUUCCUAAUAUCCAACUAAAAUUUUCCCUUUCCCAGUUUAAAGCCAUUCCCUGUGUCCUGUCCCUCCAUCCCUUGUCCUCAGUCCCUCUCCAGCUCUCCUGGAGCCCCUUCAGGCCCUGCAAGGGGCUCUGAGCUCUCCCUGGAGCCUUCUCCAGAGGCUGGGAUACUUCCCGAGGGACUCGAGAGGAGAAGGAAAAGGAGGAGGAAGACGGGGAGGAUGUAGGACUGAUCUGGAUUGCAGCCUUGCAGCCACAUCGUGUAAUCCUUCUCAUGGGCUAAUCAGGCUGGUUUUCCUCCCCAGUGGAACACACACUUGCUUCACCCACGGUCACAGGUGAAGGGCCUGCAGUGGAGCCCUUCACUUCCCAUGGGCAGUUUUCCACCCCUGAGUCCAGUUCAGGGUGCUGAACCUCCUAAAGCUUCUUGGCAUCCCUUUGGCAGCUUUCAGUGCUGUUCAUGCUGCUUCACCUGCUCUGCUAUCAGAAUCCAGAAUAAGGAGGAUUUUGUGAGAUCCUGAAUGGCUUCUUGCUGCUGGAAUUGCCCUUUGGGGGAUAAUUGGGAUGGCAGCAGAUGUGGGCACGUGAUGACAUGUACAAAGAAUGCCUGGAAAAAAAUAAAGAGCAGAAAGAGAGAGAAGUCCUGGCAAGAUGGAUGGAGAGAACACAGCCAAGGGCAAGAGAAGGAGGAGACAUCCAGGCCUGUUGGAUGUUUGUUAUGUCCAGCUUGGGAAUUCACUUGCUCAAGGAAGCAUCAGCCUGCCAUAGACUGAGGAUCUCUCCAGGGGUUGUGCUGAGAUGCUGUGAGAAGAGAGAAAAGACACUAAAGGGAAAGAAAAGCCUUUUGUCCCUUGCAGGAGCAGGAGAAUUGAACAAGACACAGCUGAGCCCUGUGUGCAAGGAUUUGUUUUUCACGGAAGGAAGAGGGGCACUGUGGCUAUACAUUAUAUUUGUGUCACCCCGUUUACGUAGAUGCAUCUCAGGAGACUUUGCAGCUGAUUGUGCUCUUUGCAUUCAAAGGAAGGAAACCAGCUGGAUGCCCUUCCCUCCCACGAGCACACACAGAAGGGCAGAGGUGAGACCAGACAGCAACUGCUCAGCACAAGGAUGCAGGAAAAUGUGGCCAUUUCCAUGAAAAACAGCAUUAAAAAGGGAAAUUCAGAGCACUGCCUGGAAACCUGGCUGCUUCCCAUUUCCAGGUGCACCAACCUGGCUGGAACAUUUUGCAAGUAUCCUGCUGAAUCAUCCAGGCAGGUGGAUUUGGUUGGUUCUGCCAAGAGGAGCUGGAAGCCUUUUUCUGGCUGAGGUGUAUCUUCAGGGGGAAAUCCUAGAAACAAACUUGGCACGCACGGAUUUUGGCUUGGGCUCACUAAAGCCACGUUGCAAACAAAAAAGGAGGCUGGUGAGGAAGGAUGUUUUCAAUAGUGCCCAUCUGCCUGUCAGUGCAGGAGAGAGGGGACAAAUGAAAAACAGGAUCGGAAAUAGAUGGGAAGUUUGGCUUAGGAGAGAUCCUCUGCCUUGCUGACCUUUAAAUUGUGGAAUCAUGGAAUUACCCUGAGGAUCAUCAACUUCUGGCCCUGCACAGACACCCCAAAAAUCCCACCCUGUACCUGAGAGUUCUCCUGGAGCUCUGGCAGCCUUGGGAACAUGACCAUUCCCUGGGGAGCCCCACCACAUUCUGGGGAAAAAACCUUUUCCUAAUAAAGAGAAAUAAAAG